Molecule: ribosomal RNA, 633 nt
Filed under: uncultured bacterium
Lineage: Bacteria
Description: bacterial SSU rRNA
Rfam family: Bacterial small subunit ribosomal RNA (bases 1-543)
Source: RNAcentral
CCUACGGGAGGCAGCAGUGGGGAAUUUUGGACAAUGGGCGCAAGCCUGAUCCAGCCAUGCCGCGUGUGGGAAGAAGGCCUUCGGGUUGUAAACCACUUUUGUCAGGGAAGAAACGGCCUUUACUAAUAUUAGGGGCUAAUGACGGUACCUGAAGAAUAAGCACCGGCUAACUACGUGCCAGCAGCCGCGGUAAUACGUAGGGUGCAAGCGUUAAUCGGAAUUACUGGGCGUAAAGCGUGCGCAGGCGGCUUUGCAAGACAGAUGUGAAAUCCCCGGGCUCAACCUGGGAACUGCAUUUGUGACUGCAUGGCUAGAGUACGGUAGAGGGGGAUGGAAUUCCGCGUGUAGCAGUGAAAUGCGUAGAUAUGCGGAGGAACACCGAUGGCGAAGGCAAUCCCCUGGACCUGUACUGACGCUCAUGCACGAAAGCGUGGGGAGCAAACAGGAUUAGAUACCCUGGUAGUCCACGCCCUAAACGAUGUCAACUGGUUGUUGGACGGCUUGCUGUUCAGUAACGAAGCUAACGCGUGAAGUUGACCCGCCGUCGGGAGGUACGGCCGCGAGGUUAGUAAACGUUAAAGGUAAAGUUAGACGGCGUGAGACGUGACCGACGGACGACGACGAGGGAGGAGG